Molecule: ribosomal RNA, 592 nt
Filed under: Rhodotorula diobovata
Lineage: Eukaryota; Fungi; Basidiomycota; Microbotryomycetes; Sporidiobolales; Sporidiobolaceae
Description: eukaryotic LSU rRNA
Rfam family: Eukaryotic large subunit ribosomal RNA
Source: RNAcentral
GGAGGAAAAGAAACUAACAAGGAUUCCCCUAGUAGCGGCGAGCGAAGCGGGAAGAGCUCAAAUUUAUAAUCUGGCACCUUCGGUGUCCGAGUUGUAAUCUCUAGAAGUGUUUUCCGCGUUGGACCGCAGACAAGUCUGUUGGAAUACAGCGGCAUAGUGGUGAAACCCCCGUAUAUGGUGCGGACGCCCAGCGCUUUGUGAUACACUUUCAAUGAGUCGAGUUGUUUGGGAAUGCAGCUCAAAUUGGGUGGUAAAUUCCAUCUAAAGCUAAAUAUUGGCGAGAGACCGAUAGCGAACAAGUACCGUGAGGGAAAGAUGAAAAGCACUUUGGAAAGAGAGUUAACAGUACGUGAAAUUGUUGGAAGGGAAACGCUUGAAGUCAGACUUGCUUGCCGGAGCUUGCUUCGGUUUGCAGGCCAGCAUCAGUUUUCCGGGGUGGAUAAUGACGGUUUGAAGGUAGCAGUCUCGGCUGUGUUAUAGCUUUCCGUUGGAUACGCCCUGGGGGACUGAGGAACGCAGCGUGCUUUUUGCGAAAGACUCGUCUUUUUCACGCUUAGGAUGCUGGUGGAAUGGCUUUAAACGACCCGUCUUG